CCAGAGAUUGCAGUGAUCAGGUCAUCGCUCUAUUCCCACUGAGUGAAGAUUGAUCAGACAACACUGAGCUGAAGGAUAGGACAGAGACACCCGCUUUAAGAUCACUGUGUCCUGGUGUGUGUGUGUGUGUGUGUGUGUGUGUGUAUAAAUGUGAGUGUGUGUGUGUGUGUGUGUGUGUGUGUGUGUGUGUGUGUGUGUGUGUGUGAGAGAUUGGACCGGAGUUCUUUUGCUGGUGCGAAAGCACGGUUCCAACCAUUACCUGAGGGGAUUCUGGCGAUGCGAAGAUACCUUAAGCUAUUUGUUCCACACAGGUGUGAAACCCUAUCCUGUCCAGCACACACACAUUUGUACAUAUACACACACACACACACACACACACACACACACACACAUGCAGGGAAACAGCGACUCACAUCCUAAUCACUGAUUGGAAGGAAAGUGCGUGUCGUGGAGGACACUGGCCCUGUCUGUCUGUCUUUACUCACCAUGGCAACACUUUCUACUGCGCAGGCCCUGCAGCAAAAUCAGCCGUCUGCACGCUGCAUGCAAACAAGUCCUGAACACACACACACAAACACACACACGCACAAACACACACAUACACACUCCAGGAUGCUUUGCUAAACAUAUUGUGCAGUUUUUUUCUACAACUCAACAGUCAGUUAUGCACGGUUUACAAAAAAGAAAUGCCUUGCUCUGUGGCAGCAAUGAACAAAAAUUAAACACUUUUACUUUUCCCGUUCUUAAAAAUGUCGGCGAGCAGCAAAGACAUUCUUAGUUUCUAGAGUUUAGUGCUUGUCACCUAAAAUUUAAAAGUAGAAAUGAUUGAAAAUUAAUAUAAUAUUGUUCCAACUAUCUGCUUCAACCAAUGUCCUUUCAUGUGAGUCUAUGGUGAUGCAGACUUGUUGCUGGUGAAUACAAGCUGGUGGAUAUGAGCUGGUCCCAGUGGAACUCUGACCAAUCACUGCUGUCAUCUUUCAGAGCAUAAAACAAUCAGAGGGCAGGUGGGCUGUGGGAAGGAGUGCCGUGCACUCUGCGUUGAUAUUCUACUGGCGUCCGGCUCGCCAGGCGCCCUACAUAGCAGGCGCUCCCUCUGGCAAUGCUUGGCUUGGCUCUGGGCUCGACGAUCUUGACGCAGCCUCUCCACACGCUUGCACGUGCACCUACACUCACACGAAGCCACGUGAAUACAGACACACAUUUCCUACAAAGGCGCACGGGAUCAGACGCAUGAAUUGAAGCAAACUGGAAUAUUCAAAGACGCGAAAGCAGGCCUGCAGACACCAGGCUCGAGACACAACCAUAUUUCAUGGUGCCGUGAAUUGCUGCAGUGGCUGUGUGCCGGAGCUGGCUGCUUUGGCCUGGACAGAAAGAGAGAGAGAGAGAGAGAGAGAGAGAGAGAGAGAGAGAGAGAGAGAGAGAGAGAGAGAGAGAGAGAGAGAGAGAGAGGGGAUAAUUGAAGUAAGCAAGAAAAGUCGAAGCCAACAAAGUCAGUCGUGUAGAUACAUAAAGACUGGGAGACAAAGGAAAGGGAAGAGCAAACCAGGCAGACUUAGAGAAAGGAGUGCGAGGCAGAGGUGUGAUAUAACCGUGGUGCGGUAAUGUGUGUGUUAUACCCCAUGGAGCAGGACGGAGACUGCUUUAAUGAAAGCACAGGAAGAGGGCAGCAGCUGGUGGCGUGUGCUUGAGCCGUGAGGAUAAGACCGUCGAGCUGGGCUCGCCAGGGUCUCUCUCCAAGCCCACGCUCUCUCUCACACACACACACACACACACACACACACACACACACACACACACACACAGACUGAGCUCCUUUGUCCGCUCUGCUGCCACCCAUGCUGGAUGAAGGCCCAGGCCGCGGGGGCCUGGCUGAGUGCAUCAGAGCCGGCAGCAGCGGCCCAAACCCAGACCAAACCUAAAGCCGGCACCGAUGCCACUGCGGCAGCACCAGAAACAAACAAGAAGCAGGAGCCGACAUGGCAGAAGAAGGAUUAGGCAGCGCAGGCAAGGACGAAGGUGGAUGUUGAAAGCAUUAGUCAUGGAGGAGAUGCUAUAAAUAAGCAUGCUAGGAGCCAUUAGCUUUGCGCCAUUGUGGUUUGGGGGUACCUAAGCUUGAGUUCACACAGCUGCACACAAUUUCCUCAAUAAAACGUAUUACAGUGUUCGUUUUAUCAAUAUUAA
Long non-coding RNA from Silurus meridionalis, 2181 nucleotides. RefSeq lists it as uncharacterized. The transcript has 2 exons. The record is from RefSeq and is a predicted model, not a curated record. Lineage: Eukaryota; Metazoa; Chordata; Actinopteri; Siluriformes; Siluridae.